GAAACCGUUCAGGGGUAAACCUGAGGAACCCAAAAGAUCGAAUGGGGAGAUUCAUCGUCAGCGGCGCUGGCUUCACGGUGGCUCGUGAUAUCGCGGGGCUUCACGGUUCCGUGGUACGCGGUCAUCGCGUUACGUCCGGCGGCGUCGGCGUGCACUUCUCCCCUAGUAGAACGUCGCGACCCGUUGGGUGCCGAUCUAAGGCCCGGGUGGGCGCCUGUCGCGUCGCUUCGGCGCACGCGGCAAACCCCCGGUCGCCAGUAUCGGCUGCCCGGCGGUACUCGCAUGGUAUCGGGCCGCAAUUCGAACUGCGUCGGGCCCGCCGCAAGCGCGGCCAGCGUCGCGGAGACACGGACCUAGCGCCGUGCCCGUGCCUUGCCAGCUGUUGGCAGGCGGUGUCCUCUGACAGGCCAAAAACUCACCUUCGAAAGUGUGAUACCGGUCGGCGACGCUACUGCUUUGGGUAAUCUCAGGACCCGUCUUGAAACACGGACCAAGGAGUCUAACAUGUGCGCGAGUCAUUGGGACAGCAUGCCUAAAGGCGAAAUGAAAGUGAAGGUAGGCCUAGCGCCGACCGAGGGAGGAUGGGCCGCGUCACGAUGCGGCUUCGCACUCCCGGGGCGUCUCGUUCUCAUCGCGAGAAGAGGCGCACCCAGAGCGUACACGUUGGGACCCGAAAGAUGGUGAACUAUGCCUGGUCAGGACGAAGUCAGGGGAAACCCUGAUGGAGGUCCGUAGCGAUUCUGACGUGCAAAUCGAUCGUCGGAACUGGGUAUAGGGGCGAAAGACUAAUCGACC
RNAcentral lists this ribosomal RNA (795 nucleotides) under Propristocera okinawensis. RNAcentral's name for it is "partial 28S ribosomal RNA". It matches the Rfam family "Eukaryotic large subunit ribosomal RNA", at positions 401 to 941 of the family's 3401-position model. The record is from RNAcentral. Lineage: Eukaryota; Metazoa; Arthropoda; Insecta; Hymenoptera; Bethylidae.